CCAAGGAAAUAUAUAUACGGUGGGCGAUCGUGAUCGUAGAGGUGGCUCCGGCAGAGUCCACAGGCUCGGACUACGUGUACCACUGCGUCUGCGGCACGGUCCUUGGUCACUCUAAGCGGAUCGUUCGUUUGACCUGGUUAGGCAUGCACCCCUCACAAAUCUCGGCUUCAUACACGGCACAAAAUAACAGGCACGGAACGGACUCACAGUUAGAUUUCGAAGGUUGGCUCGUCGGGCCCACUGCGGUCGAUCCUCUCCAGAAUUUCUCUCCCUCAGUAACGGAAUCUCGCUCUCACCGAUACUGUCCUACAUCAUUUAGCCUCUUUGGAAAACCGAUAGAUGGCGCUUCGACUCAGCCCUGGACAAUCUAUCGCUGAGGUGGGACUGGAACAUGCGGAAAAUUUGUCCGCCGUAUUUUCUGUGCGCUAAACACCCCCCUGGUCGACAAUGGGUUAACGUUUCAUUUUAUUGAUUGAAAUCGUAUUAACUCGUCAAAAAGAAAAACCUCUGCCGAAAAUUUUUCGUCACAAUAUGGGACAAAUAGUUGUGGUUGUGCGAAAUGGCAACUACGCAGACACGUAAUUAUUACCAGCGCCCCCUGGCGAAGAAAGCAGUCAACUUAUCCGAUAUAUAUAUCUAAUAAUGUGCAAGGUGUGUGAUUUAGAGAGGGUGGGAGAUAAG
Drosophila obscura is the source of this 681-nucleotide long non-coding RNA. RefSeq lists it as uncharacterized. Lineage: Eukaryota; Metazoa; Arthropoda; Insecta; Diptera; Drosophilidae. The transcript has 3 exons. The record is from RefSeq and is a predicted model, not a curated record.